This is a non-coding RNA of Microcebus murinus (gray mouse lemur), 173 nucleotides long. NCBI's taxonomy places the organism in Eukaryota, Metazoa, Chordata, Mammalia, Primates, Cheirogaleidae. The record is from RefSeq and is a predicted model, not a curated record.
GAUAGAUGGAUGUUGAUUCCAAGUUCCAAGAGCUGGAAGAGAAUUUGGGAUUCAUUUUUCUCUGGAAUGAUCAUCCUUGGACCUAAAGGCCUCCACAACAGAAAUGAAGAAGGAACCUGCAUGUUCAGAGCAACACAGACCUACUGCCCCCUAGACACCUCCCUCAGCCUCCC